This 81-nucleotide transfer RNA is filed under the name Uncinocarpus reesii 1704. Its description in RNAcentral is "tRNA-Leu (CAA) (tRNA-Leu-CAA-1-1, tRNA-Leu-CAA-1-2)". It matches the Rfam family "tRNA". From Rfam's summary of the family: Transfer RNA (tRNA) molecules are approximately 80 nucleotides in length. Lineage: Eukaryota; Fungi; Ascomycota; Eurotiomycetes; Onygenales; Onygenaceae. The record is from RNAcentral.
GGCAAGAUGACCGAGCGGUUAAGGUGCCAGACUCAAGUUCUGGUGGGGCAACCCGCGGGAGUUCGAAUCUCCCUCUUGUCA